AUUGAACGCUGGCGGCAGGCUUAACACAUGCAAGUCGAACGGUAACAUAAAGAAGCUUGCUUCUUUGAUGACGAGUGGCGGACGGGUGAGUAAUGCUUGGGAAUCUAGCUUAUGGAGGGGGAUAACUACGGGAAACUGUAGCUAAUACCGCGUAGAACCGAGAGAUGAAAGUGUGGGACCUUCGGGCCACAUGCCAUAGGAUGAGCCCAAGUGGGAUUAGGUAGUUGGUGAGGUAAAGGCUCACCAAGCCGACGAUCUCUAGCUGGUCUGAGAGGAUGACCAGCCACACUGGGACUGAGACACGGCCCAGACUCCUACGGGAGGCAGCAGUGGGGAAUAUUGCGCAAUGGGGGCAACCCUGACGCAGCCAUGCCGCGUGAAUGAAGAAGGCCUUCGGGUUGUAAAGUUCUUUCGGUAGCGAGGAAGGCAUUUAGUUUAAUAGACUAGGUGAUUGACGUUAACUACAGAAGAAGCACCGGCUAACUCCGUGCCAGCAGCCGCGGUAAUACGGAGGGUGCGAGCGUUAAUCGGAAUAACUGGGCGUAAAGGGCACGCAGGCGGUGACUUAAGUGAGGUGUGAAAGCCCCGGGCUUAACCUGGGAAUUGCAUUUCAUACUGGGUCGCUAGAGUACUUUAGGGAGGGGUAGAAUUCCACGUGUAGCGGUGAAAUGCGUAGAGAUGUGGAGGAAUACCGAAGGCGAAGGCAGCCCCUUGGGAAUGUACUGACGCUCAUGUGCGAAAGCGUGGGGAGCAAACAGG
RNAcentral lists this ribosomal RNA (759 nucleotides) under Parahaemophilus parainfluenzae. Its description in RNAcentral is "Haemophilus parainfluenzae bacterial SSU rRNA". It matches the Rfam family "Bacterial small subunit ribosomal RNA", at positions 28 to 776 of the family's 1533-position model. Lineage: Bacteria; Pseudomonadati; Pseudomonadota; Gammaproteobacteria; Pasteurellales; Pasteurellaceae. The record is from RNAcentral.